Molecule: long non-coding RNA, 232 nt
Organism: Chelonia mydas (Green sea turtle)
Lineage: Eukaryota; Metazoa; Chordata; Testudines; Cheloniidae
Exons: 3
Source: RefSeq, a predicted model, not a curated record
GUCAUAAUGAAUCAUAAGCUAAAUAUGAGUCAACAGUGUAACACUGUUGCAAAAAAAGCAAACAUCAUUCUGGGAUGGAUUAGUAGGACUGUUGUAAGCAUGACACGAAUAGUAAUUCUUCUACUCUACUCUGCACUGAUAAGGCAUCAGCUGGAAUAUUGUGUCCAGUUCUGGGCACCACAUCUCAGGAAAGAUGUGGACAAAUUGGAGAAAGUCCCCAGGAGAGCAAGAA